GAGACUAGUAUUUUUGAGUGUCAGCACGAGAUAUCUUUUACGAAGGACUGCUUGUAUAAGCUCCUUUGCAGCGAGUAUCUUCUCACCAUCAGAUCAGAAGUUAGCAGGUAUCCUUUAAUGGAGGAAACACAUGCUACUUUAAAGUGUGUGAGCCAUCAGAGGUCUGGUGUAAUAAAUUACACGUGGCCAGAAAAUGCAGGCGGGUUCCCUGAUGGCAGUAGCCUGAUCAUCACUAGAGUGACCAGGGAACAUAAUGGAAGUCGAGUGAGGUGUGAGGCGAUGUACAGUGAUGGUGAAGUUGUCUCCAGUGACUCACUGCAAUUACAGGUUUACUAUCGCCCGGUUAUCAGGAUAACACGGAGUGAUAAUCAGGGUCAGCUACUGUCCACCUUCCCUGAGGUCAUUAAGGGUCACAAUGUGACGUUUGUGUGUGACGCUGACAGCAACCCGCCUCCUGCUUCCAUCACGUGGUCAGGGAAAGUAAACAGCACUACUGGGGAGCUACACAUCAUAGCAGCACAGCAGACGACACACGACGGUGUCUACACCUGUACCG
Long non-coding RNA from Pomacea canaliculata, 556 nucleotides. RefSeq lists it as uncharacterized. Lineage: Eukaryota; Metazoa; Mollusca; Gastropoda; Architaenioglossa; Ampullariidae. The transcript is spliced from 3 exons. The record is from RefSeq and is a predicted model, not a curated record.